Molecule: small nucleolar RNA, 80 nt
Organism: Lolium perenne
Lineage: Eukaryota; Viridiplantae; Streptophyta; Magnoliopsida; Poales; Poaceae
Product: small nucleolar RNA U54
Source: RefSeq, a predicted model, not a curated record
UGCUCAGUGAUAAGAGCCAACUACGUUGGCAAUACACGCUAUACUGACCUUAUUUUGAUGAAAAAAUGUAUAUGGGAGCU